CUCGGCUACGGUGAUAUGGUGCCGUCGACCGUGAUGGGUAAGAUUGUUGGUGGAAUUUGUUCGUUGUCCGGUGUACUUGUGAUCGCAUUACCAGUUCCGGUAAGUACCUUAA
Non-coding RNA from Angiostrongylus cantonensis (rat lungworm), 112 nucleotides. The record is from Rfam. NCBI's taxonomy places the organism in Eukaryota, Metazoa, Nematoda, Chromadorea, Rhabditida, Metastrongylidae.